GGGAGUUUGGCCGAGUGGUUUAAGGCGCCAGAUUUAGGUUUCUUUGCUUAAACAUUCUGGUAUCUUCGGAUGCGUGGGUUCGAAUCCCUCAGCUCUCA
Molecule: non-coding RNA, 98 nt
Organism: Arxiozyma heterogenica
Lineage: Eukaryota; Fungi; Ascomycota; Saccharomycetes; Saccharomycetales; Saccharomycetaceae
Source: the annotation of a RefSeq genome assembly